CAGUCGCCGCGGUAAUACGAAGGGUGCAAGCGUUAAUCGGAAUUACUGGGCGUAAAGCGUGCGUAGGCGGUUUGUUAAGUCUGUUGUGAAAUCCCCGGGCUCAACCUGGGAAUGGCAAUGGAUACUGGCAAGCUAGAGUGUGUCAGAGGAUGGUGGAACUCCCGGUGUAGCGGUGAAAUGCGUAGAGAUCGGGAGGAACAUCAGUGGCGAAGGCGGCCAUCUGGGACAACACUGACGCUGAGGCACGAAAGCGUGGGGAGCAAACAGGAUUAGAUACCCCAGUAGUCCCUGUCUCUUAUAC
Molecule: ribosomal RNA, 301 nt
Filed under: uncultured bacterium
Lineage: Bacteria
Description: partial 16S ribosomal RNA
Rfam family: Bacterial small subunit ribosomal RNA
Source: RNAcentral